Etheostoma spectabile (orangethroat darter) is the source of this 123-nucleotide long non-coding RNA. RefSeq lists it as uncharacterized. The transcript has 2 exons. The record is from RefSeq and is a predicted model, not a curated record. NCBI's taxonomy places the organism in Eukaryota, Metazoa, Chordata, Actinopteri, Perciformes, Percidae.
AAAACAGAGAGCUCAACACACUGGGUGAAAAGACAAUGUGCAGUACAACAAAAAUGUGGUGUUUUUGGAAAAUAAGGCCAUGUAAACCUAUUCUGAUACAACCUCAAAUACAAUUAUGAGCCU